This 857-nucleotide ribosomal RNA is filed under the name Diaporthales sp. Its description in RNAcentral is "partial large subunit ribosomal RNA". It matches the Rfam family "Eukaryotic large subunit ribosomal RNA", at positions 59 to 945 of the family's 3401-position model. The record is from RNAcentral. Lineage: Eukaryota; Fungi; Ascomycota; Sordariomycetes; Diaporthales.
AAGAAACCAACAGGGAUUGCCCUAGUAACGGCGAGUGAAGCGGCAACAGCUCAAAUUUGAAAUCUGGCCUCGGCCCGAGUUGUAAUUUGCAGAGGAUGCUUUUGGUGCGGUGCCUUCCGAGUUCCCUGGAACGGGACGCCACAGAGGGUGAGAGCCCCGUAUGGUUGGACACCAAUCCUGUGUAAAGCUCCUUCGACGAGUCGAGUAGUUUGGGAAUGCUGCUCUAAAUGGGAGGUAAAUCUCUUCUAAAGCUAAAUACCGGCCAGAGACCGAUAGCGCACAAGUAGAGUGAUCGAAAGAUGAAAAGCACCUUGAAAAGGGGGUUAAACAGUACGUGAAAUUGUUGAAAGGGAAGCACUUGUGACCAGACUUGGGCCGGGCGGCUCAUCAGGGGUUCUCCCCUGUGCACUCCGCCCGGUACAGGCCAGCAUCGGUUUUUGCCGGGGGAUAAGAACGGUAGGAACGUGGCUCCCCCUCGGGGGAGUGUUAUAGCCUGUCGUACGAUACCCUGGCGGGGACCGAGGUUCGCGCUUCCGCAAGGAUGCUGGCGUAAUGGUUACUAGUGACCCGUCUUGAAACACGGACCAAGGAGUCGUCCAUUAGAGCGAGCGUUUGGGUGUCAAACCCGCACGCGUAAUGAAAGUGAAAUUAGGUGAGAGCUUCGGCGCAUCAUCGACCGAUCCUGAUGUUCUCGGAUGGAUUUGAGUAAGAGUUUUAACGGACGGACCCGAAAGACAGUGAACUAUGCUUGUAUAGGGUGAAGCCAGAGGAAACUCUGGUGGAGGCUCGCAGCGGUUCUGACGUGCAAAUCGAUCGUCAAAUAUGAGCAUGGGGGCGAAAGACUAAUCGAACUGUCU